Long non-coding RNA from Drosophila miranda, 1178 nucleotides. RefSeq lists it as uncharacterized. The transcript is spliced from 3 exons. The record is from RefSeq and is a predicted model, not a curated record. NCBI's taxonomy places the organism in Eukaryota, Metazoa, Arthropoda, Insecta, Diptera, Drosophilidae.
ACAUUGCGGACAUGGUAUAAAUAUGAUGGGUAUAGAGUCUAUAGACAUUCCGCUCUGCGAGGGACCUAAGCAGACUGCAUAGGCUACCACAAGGUGAGCCGGCUCUACCUUAAAUAAUUAUACCAAGUUGUGGGGUUGGUGCCUGCUUAUCUUCUCUGCCUCUCCCAAUCACGGCGCCUCUCAUCGGCUCUGCCUCUGUGCCUGCGCUUGUGCUCCUAACCGCGUCCAAUUUUUGGUUUGUGUUGUUGUCACCGGAUGCCGGCCACCAUUGGCGGUGGAGGGAGCGUCACAGCUGUUCUCACCAGCCCCCAAAGCUAGGCCGAAUCCAAAGAAGCUGGCCGAUGUGAGAGAGAGGCUCACGGAGCAGACAUUCCAGUAUUUACUCCAGUCUGCCGUUCUUUAUCAGUCGUAAGUGGGCCCUGCAGGGUAGAUGAAUUGCUCUCCGGGAUCUAUUAUUAUGUUCCUGAUCAACCCUCUCUAGAACUAUUUCCAAAUACAUGGGUCGCAAUCCAACAAAAACCAGAAACCAUUGAGCAUCGCAUCAUUAGUGACGUCUCCCACCCAUACAUAUCAGUUCGAUGUUAUGGAAACUUUUAAAUCGCAAGACGAUUGAUAGAGCUGUUGUUGUUCUUUUUGUUUUGUGUUGUGGAGGCGACUAGAGUGCUUCACCCAUUUGAACUCGGCGCGUGUGCAGUCCGGCGAUGUUAACGAAGCUGAAGCUUAUUAUAUUAACAGCCGGUGAGUCUAGUUCUAUAUCGGGGGGAAUCGUACGACUCAAAAUUAAUGUGGCGGGAUGGAAUGGAGAUUCGGGCACUGAUUCGGGCUGAGAGCUCUCAUCGUUGCCGACCUGACGAUUGCGCUCUCUGUUAUCGUCGCUAUCAGCUGGACUUUAUGAUUGGCUCUCGCUCUCAAAAACUAUAUAUUUACAAAUAUGUAUACAUGCACAUACAUACACAUGUAUCAGAGUCUUUUAGAUUUGUAUUUUUAUAUCACGGCAAUAACAGGGGGCGCGUUAUCUAUAUGUAGAUAGACCAACAAGAGACCCAACAAGAGGCAUGUUGCGUAUUAAAGAGGAAUACAUAUUUACAUACUACUAUAAGAUGUUUGUUUGGAUGGGCAGUUGUUUAGUCCAUAAUUUGCUUUAGUAUGUUUCUAUGUAAUACUAAUACAAAAAAUCG